UGGGGAAUUUUGCACAAUGGGGGAAACCCUGAUGCAGCGACGCCGCGUGAUUUAGAAGGCCUUCGGGUUGUAAAAAUCUUUUCUACGGGAAGAAAAUGACAGUACCAUAGGAAUAAGGACCGGCUAAUUACGUGCCAGCAGCCGCGGUAAUACGUAAGGUCCGAGCGUUGUCCGGAAUCAUUGGGCGUAAAGGGUACGUAGGCGGGUAAGCAAGUUAGAAGUGAAAUCCUAUAGCUCAACUAUAGUAAGCUUUUAAAACUGCUCAUCUUGAUGUAUGGAAGGGAAAGUGGAAUUCCUAGGGUAGCGGUGAAAUGCGCAGAUAUUAGGGGGAAUACCGGUGGCGAAGGCGACUUUCUGGCCAUAACCUAACGCUAAGGUACGAAAGCGUGGGUAGCAAACAGG
This 402-nucleotide ribosomal RNA is filed under the name bacterium. Its description in RNAcentral is "partial 16S ribosomal RNA". It matches the Rfam family "Bacterial small subunit ribosomal RNA", at positions 355 to 776 of the family's 1533-position model. The record is from RNAcentral.